This 736-nucleotide ribosomal RNA is filed under the name uncultured bacterium. RNAcentral's name for it is "bacterial SSU rRNA". It matches the Rfam family "Bacterial small subunit ribosomal RNA", at positions 169 to 922 of the family's 1533-position model. The record is from RNAcentral.
CCGCAUACAUUUGAGAAGUUUAGAAGUUCUCAAAGAAACUUCCGGGGCGGAAAGAGGGUGCUGCGGCCCAUCAGGUAGUUGGUGAGGUAACGGCUCACCAAGCCGACGACGGGUAGGGGGCCUGAGAGGGUUACCCCCCACACUGGAACAGACAUACGGUCCAGACUCCUACGGGAGGCAGCAGUAAGGGAUAUUGGGCAAUGGACGCAAGUCUGACCCAGCAACGCCGCGUGGAGGAAGAAGGCUUUCGGGUCGUAAACUCCUUUUAACCGGGACGAGAGAGGACGGUACCGGUUGAAUCAGUCACGGCUAACUACGUGCCAGCAGCCGCGGUAAAACGUAGGUGGCGAGCGUUAUCCGGAUUUACUGGGCGUAAAGGGUGUGCAGGCGGGCUGUUAAGUGGUGCAUGAAAUUUCCAGGCUCAACUUGGAAAGGCUGUGCCAGACUGGCAGUCUAGGAUGCGUGAGAGGGUCGUGGAAUUCCGGGUGUAGUAGUGAAAUGCGUAGAUAUCCGGAGGAACACCAGAGGCGAAGGCGGCGACCUGGCACGCGAUUGACGCUGAGACACGACAGCAUGGGUAGCGAACGGGAUUAGAAACCCCGGUAGUCCAUGCCGUAAACGAUGAGAGCUGGGCGUCGGGGGGUGCAAACCGCCCGGUGUCGAAGUUAACACGAUAAGCUCUCCGCCUGGGGAGUACGGUCGCAAGGCUAAAACUCAAAGGAAUUGACGGAAUCGA